GACGGCGCGGUUGGGUUAAUCAGCUUUCACCUUGCCUUUUACCAGAUGAAACCUUGGCCCACCGCAACACGCCGCAUUCUCAAUCUUUGGAAUAUCUAGAUCGAGUAAAUCG
This 112-nucleotide small nuclear RNA is filed under the name Dothistroma septosporum NZE10. RNAcentral's name for it is "U5 spliceosomal RNA". It matches the Rfam family "U5 spliceosomal RNA". Rfam says of the family: U5 RNA is a component of both types of known spliceosome. The record is from Rfam by way of RNAcentral. Lineage: Eukaryota; Fungi; Ascomycota; Dothideomycetes; Mycosphaerellales; Mycosphaerellaceae.